GUUUUAGUACGUAGUCGCCAUGGAUGGCGAAUCAUACAUCCUCCUGUUAGAGUUAGUAGUAUCUUUAGAAGAUUUC
Molecule: non-coding RNA, 76 nt
Organism: Glossina palpalis gambiensis
Lineage: Eukaryota; Metazoa; Arthropoda; Insecta; Diptera; Glossinidae
Source: Rfam